Molecule: transfer RNA, 69 nt
Filed under: Vulpes vulpes (red fox)
Lineage: Eukaryota; Metazoa; Chordata; Mammalia; Carnivora; Canidae
Also listed under: 1 other name
Description: tRNA-Ser
Rfam family: tRNA
About the family: Transfer RNA (tRNA) molecules are approximately 80 nucleotides in length. Their secondary structure includes four short double-helical elements and three loops (D, anti-codon, and T loops). Further hydrogen bonds mediate the characteristic L-shaped molecular structure. tRNAs have two regions of fundamental functional importance: the anti-codon, which is responsible for specific mRNA codon recognition, and the 3' end, to which the tRNAs corresponding amino acid is attached (by aminoacyl-tRNA synthetases). tRNAs cope with the degeneracy of the genetic code in two manners: having more than one tRNA (with a specific anti-codon) for a particular amino acid; and 'wobble' base-pairing, i.e. permitting non-standard base-pairing at the 3rd anti-codon position.
Source: RNAcentral
GAGAAAGACAUAGUGGUUAUGGGACUGGCUUGAAACCAGUUUUAGGGGGUUCGAUUCCUUCCUUUCUUA